This is a non-coding RNA of Dipodomys ordii (Ord's kangaroo rat), 65 nucleotides long. NCBI's taxonomy places the organism in Eukaryota, Metazoa, Chordata, Mammalia, Rodentia, Heteromyidae. The record is from Rfam.
GGUGGCUCAGUGGUAGAGUGCUUGCCUAGCGUGCAUGAGGCCCUGGGUUCGAUUCCUCAGUACCA